UACGUAGGUGGCAAGCGUUGUUCGGAAUUAUUGGGCGUAAAGCGCGCGCAGGCGGUCCUUUAAGUCUGAUGUGAAAGCCCACGGCUCAACCGUGGAGGGUCAUUGGAAACUGGGGGACUUGAGUACAGAAGAGAAGAGUGGAAUUCCACGUGUAGCGGUGAAAUGCGUAGAGGUGUGGAGGAACACCAGUGGCGAAGGCGACUCUUUGGUCUGUAACUGACGCUGAGGCGCGAAAGCGUGGGGAGCAAACAGG
Molecule: ribosomal RNA, 253 nt
Filed under: uncultured bacterium
Lineage: Bacteria
Description: partial 16S ribosomal RNA
Rfam family: Bacterial small subunit ribosomal RNA
Source: RNAcentral